RNAcentral lists this ribosomal RNA (200 nucleotides) under uncultured bacterium. Its description in RNAcentral is "partial 16S ribosomal RNA". It matches the Rfam family "Bacterial small subunit ribosomal RNA", at positions 130 to 334 of the family's 1533-position model. The record is from RNAcentral.
UUAGUGGGAGGGGAUAACGUACGGAAACUGUAGCUAAUACCGCGUAGUGUCGAGAGAGAAGUGCGGGACCGCAAGGCCGCAUGCCAUGAGAUGAGCCCAAGUGGGAUUAGGUAGUUGGUGGGGUAAAGGCCUACCAAGCCUGCGAUCUCUAGCUGGUCUGAGAGGAUGGCCAGCCACACUGGAACUGAGACACGGUCCAG